AAUCAACGCUGGCGGCGUGCCUAACACAUGCAAGUCGAACGAGAAAGUGGAGCAAUCCAUGAGUACAGUGGCGACCGGGUGAGUAACACGUGACUAACCUACCCUCGAGUGGGGAAUAACUCCGGGAAACCGGAGCUAAUACCGCAUAACAUCGCGAGAUCAAAGCCGAAAGGCGCUUGAGGAGGGGGUCGCGGCUGAUUAGCUAGUUGGCGGGGUAAUGGCCCACCAAGGCGAAGAUCGGUAUCCGGCCUGAGAGGGCGCACGGACACACUGGAACUGAAACACGGUCCAGACUCCUACGGGAGGCAGCAGUGGGGAAUUUUGCGCAAUGGGGGAAACCCUGACGCAGCAACGCCGCGUGGAGGAUGAAGUCCCUUGGGAUGUAAACUCCUUUCGACCGGGAAGAUACUGACGGUACCGGAAGAAGAAGC
Molecule: ribosomal RNA, 431 nt
Filed under: uncultured bacterium
Lineage: Bacteria
Description: bacterial SSU rRNA
Rfam family: Bacterial small subunit ribosomal RNA
Source: RNAcentral